AAAAGAAAUAAACAUAUUUACAUAUACUAAUUUA
This 34-nucleotide small RNA is filed under the name Arabidopsis thaliana (thale cress). RNAcentral's name for it is "ATSL030660". The record is from RNAcentral. Lineage: Eukaryota; Viridiplantae; Streptophyta; Magnoliopsida; Brassicales; Brassicaceae.